GCAGAGAGGGCCCGCAGCACACUCUCACUUCCCUUCGCAGCAGCUCCCCUGUCUCUAACUCUCGUGGCCUGCGUGCUGCGUGGAGCGUUGCACUGGUAACCCACACAACUCUCUGACAGCCGCAGGACUCACAAGAUUUAGACAGGGGAGCUGCUGGGAAGGGAAGUGAGAGUGUGCUGUGGGCCCCCUCU
Pelobates cultripes (western spadefoot toad) is the source of this 191-nucleotide non-coding RNA. NCBI's taxonomy places the organism in Eukaryota, Metazoa, Chordata, Amphibia, Anura, Pelobatidae. The record is from the annotation of a GenBank genome assembly.